This 460-nucleotide ribosomal RNA is filed under the name uncultured bacterium. RNAcentral's name for it is "partial 16S ribosomal RNA". It matches the Rfam family "Bacterial small subunit ribosomal RNA", at positions 338 to 795 of the family's 1533-position model. The record is from RNAcentral.
CCUACGGGAGGCAGCAGUGAGGAAUAUUGGUCAAUGGACGGAAGUCUGAACCAGCCAUGCCGCGUGCAGGAAGACGGCUCUAUGAGUUGUAAACUGCUUUUGUACAAGGGUAAACCUGAAUACGUGUAUUCGGCUGAAAGUACUGUACGAAUAAGGAUCGGCUAACUCCGUGCCAGCAGCCGCGGUAAUACGGAGGAUCCAAGCGUUAUCCGGAUUUAUUGGGUUUAAAGGGUGCGUAGGCGGUUUGAUAAGUUAGAGGUGAAAUGUCCGGGCUUAACUCGGGAACUGCCUCUAAUACUGUUGAUCUAGAGAGUAGAUGCGGUAGGCGGAAUGUAUGGUGUAGCGGUGAAAUGCUUAGAGAUCAUACAGAACACCGAUUGCGAAGGCAGCUUACCAAUCUAUAACUGACGUUGAGGCACGAAAGCGUGGGGAGCAAACAGGAUUAGAUACCCCUGUAGUC